GACGAACGCUGGCGGCGUGCCUAAUACAUGCAAGUAGAACGCUGAAGGAGGAGCUUGCUUCUCUGGAUGAGUUGCGAACGGGUGAGUAACGCGUAGGUAACCUGCCUGGUAGCGGGGGAUAACUAUUGGAAACGAUAGCUAAUACCGCAUAAUAGCAGUUGUUGCAUGACAACUGUUUGAAAGGUGCAAUUGCACCACUACCAGAUGGACCUGCGUUGUAUUAGCUAGUUGGUGGGGUAACGGCUCACCAAGGCGACGAUACAUAGCCGACCUGAGAGGGUGAUCGGCCACACUGGGACUGAGACACGGCCCAGACUCCUACGGGAGGCAGCAGUAGGGAAUCUUCGGCAAUGGACGGAAGUCUGACCGAGCAACGCCGCGUGAGUGAAGAAGGUUUUCGGAUCGUAAAGCCCUGAUGUAAGAGAAGAACGAGUGUGAGAGUGGAAAGUUCACACUGUGACGGUAUCUUACCAGAAAGGGACGGCUAACUACGUG
This 495-nucleotide ribosomal RNA is filed under the name uncultured bacterium. Its description in RNAcentral is "partial 16S ribosomal RNA". It matches the Rfam family "Bacterial small subunit ribosomal RNA", at positions 28 to 507 of the family's 1533-position model. The record is from RNAcentral.